GUAGUCAUAUGCUUGUCUCAAAGAUUAAGCCAUGCAUGUCUAAGUAUAAGCAACUUGUACAGUGAAACUGCGAAUGGCUCAUUAAAUCAGUUAUCGUUUAUUUGAUAAUCCUUUACUACAUGGAUACCUGUGGUAAUUCUAGAGCUAAUACAUGCUUCAAGGAGUGGCUUUCGUCACUCUGCACUUAUUAGAUAAAAAACCAAUGCCCCUUUGGGGCUCCUUGGUGAUUCAUAAUAAUUUAGCGGACCGCAUGGCCUUGAGCCGGCGGUGGAUCAUUCAAAUUUCUGCCCUAUCAACUUUCGAUGGUAGGAUAGUGGCCUACCAUGGUUUCAACGGGUAACGGGGAAU
RNAcentral lists this ribosomal RNA (348 nucleotides) under uncultured fungus. RNAcentral describes it as "SSU rRNA". It matches the Rfam family "Eukaryotic small subunit ribosomal RNA", at positions 20 to 370 of the family's 1831-position model. The record is from RNAcentral. Lineage: Eukaryota; Fungi.